RNAcentral lists this ribosomal RNA (607 nucleotides) under Agaricaceae sp. PA356. RNAcentral describes it as "eukaryotic LSU rRNA". It matches the Rfam family "Eukaryotic large subunit ribosomal RNA", at positions 52 to 642 of the family's 3401-position model. Lineage: Eukaryota; Fungi; Basidiomycota; Agaricomycetes; Agaricales; Agaricaceae. The record is from RNAcentral.
GGAGGAAAAGAACUAACAAGGAUUCCCCUAGUAACUGCGAGUGAAGCGGGAAAAGCUCAAAUUUAAAAUCUGGCGGUCUCUGGCCGUCCGAGUUGUAAUCUAGAGAAGUGCUGCCCGCGCUGGACCGUGUACAAGUCUCCUGGGAUGGAGCGUCAUAGAGGGUGAGAAUCCCGUCUCUGACACGGACUACCAGGGCUUUGUGGUACGCUCUCAAAGAGUCGAGUUGUUUGGGAAUGCAGCUCAAAAUGGGUGGUAAAUUCCAUCUAAAGCUAAAUAUUGGCGAGAGACCGAUAGCGAACAAGUACCGUGAGGGAAAGAUGAAAAGAACUUUGGAAAGAGAGUUAAACAGUACGUGAAAUUGCUGAAAGGGAAACGCUUGAAGUCAGUCACGUUGGCCGGGGAUCAGCCUCACUCUUUUGUGUGGUGUACUUCCUGGUUGACGGGUCAGCAUCAAUUUUGACCGCUGGAAAAAGGCUUGAGGAAUGUGGCAGCUCAGGCUGUGUUAUAGCUUCUUGUCAUAUACAGCGGUUGGGAUUGAGGAACUCAGCACGCCGCAAGGCCGGGUUUCGACCACGUUCGUGCUUAGGAUGCUGGCAUAAUGGCUUUA